RNAcentral lists this ribosomal RNA (1459 nucleotides) under bovine gut metagenome. Its description in RNAcentral is "bacterial LSU rRNA". It matches the Rfam family "Bacterial large subunit ribosomal RNA", at positions 976 to 2618 of the family's 2925-position model. The record is from RNAcentral.
ACCGGGAGUCAGAGUGCGAGUGAUAAGACCCGUACUCAAGAGGGAAACAGCCCAGACCGCCGGCUAAGGUCCCAAAUGCCGUGCUAAGUGGGGAAGGAUGUAGGAGUUCGAAGACAGCCAGGAUGUUGGCUCAGAAGCAGCCACCAUUAAAAGAGUGCGUAACAGCUCACUGGCCGAGAGGUCCUGCGCCGAAGAUACCCGGGGCUCAAGCACGGAACCGAAGCCGCGGCAUGUACCAAGUACAUGGGUAGGGGAGCGUACCGCCAUCGGCGAAGCAUGACCGGAAGGACAUGUGGAGAGGGCGGCAGUGAGAAUGCCGGUAUGAGUAGCGAAAAGGACGGUGAGAAUCCGUCCCACCGAAAGCCUAAGGUUUCCCGGGCAACGNNACCGUUUGAGGAUGGAGUGACGCAGGGGGCAGUCCGGGCGCGCGGCUGGAAGAGCGCGUCGAAGGCUGCGGGCCGCAGGGGAGGCAAAUCCCCUCUGCACGAGGCCGAGAGCUGACCGGGAGCCGAACCUUCGGGGAAGGCGAAGCCGGAUGGGCCGCACUGCCGAGAAAAGCUUCUAACGAGGUGACAUGUGCCCGUACCGUAAACCGACACAGGUAGGCGGGGAGAGAAUCCUAAGGUGCGCGGGAAAACCCUCGUUAAGGAACUCGGCAAAAUGUAUCCGUAACUUCGGGAAAAGGAUAGCCGGAACUGGUGAACCCGGUCAGGGGGAGCUGGAGCCGGCCGCAGAGGAGAGGCCCAGGCGACUGUUUACCACAAACACAGGUACCUGCGAAAGAGAAAUCUGAAGUAUAGGCGCUGACGCCUGCCCGGUGCCGGAAGGUUAAGGGGAAAGGUUAGCCGCAAGGCGAAGCUUUGAACCGAAGCCCCGGUGAACGGCGGCCGUAACUAUAACGGUCCUAAGGUAGCGAAAUUCCUUGUCGGGUAAGUUCCGACCNNACUGCAGCCUGGCAUUGAUCCCUGGCGGCCCAUGUACAGGAUAGGUGGGAGGCGGAGAAGGGUGAGCGCAAGCUCAUCUGGAGCCGAUGUUGGGAUACCACCCCUGGGCCGUUGGGGACCUAACCGAGGGAAAGACCUUCCCCGGGACAGUGCCAGGGGGACAGUUUGACUGGGGCGGUCGCCUCCGAAAGAGUAACGGAGGCGCCCAAAGGUUCCCUCAGCGCGGACGGAAAUCGCGCGAAGAGUGUAAAGGCAGAAGGGAGCUUGACUGCGAGGCGGACAGGCCGAGCAGGUGCGAAAGCAGGGCUUAGUGAUCCGGUGGAAUGAAAGUGGAAUUGCCAUCGCUCAACGGAUAAAAGCUACCCUGGGGAUAACAGGCUGAUCUCUCCCAAGAGUCCAUAUCGACGGGGAGGUUUGGCACCUCGAUGUCGGCUCAUCACAUCCUGGGGCUGGAGCAGGUCCCAAGGGUUGGGCUGUUCGCCCAUUAAAGUGGUACGUGAGCUGGGUUCAGAACG